CUUUUGGUCCUUAUUCCUCUCAGGGGUUGAAAUCGUUGAAUAUAUGUUAAAUUAAGAUCGUAUUUGGAUGGGAAGUAACUCUAUUCCAACGGUUAACAGCGUGGAAAUGGCGAAUUACCAGCCCUACGAUAAGAGACAUAGAGAUCUCCAAGAAGAUGUUCGCCCUGCCAAUAGUAGACUCUUUAUUUUAUGCAGUAAACAAGCAUCGGAAGAAAUGUUCCAGAAGGAAUUCGAGCGAUUUGGAGGGAUCGAAGAUAUCUGGGUUGUGAAAGAUAAACGUUCAAACGAAAACAAAGGAGUAACUUACAUUAAGUAUGGUAAAACAUCAGAAGCAGCAUUAGCCAUGGAAGAGAUGAAUGGUAAAUCUCUGGACGGAGACCCUAAACCAUUAAAGGUGAUGAUUGCAAGUAGUAAAAGAGAAGGAUCCAUCAGAGACCCAAAGGAAGACGAGAAGAAUCUGAGAUUGUUUGUAAUUGUACCCAAGUCAUAUAGCAGGGAUGAUCUUAGGAAGGAAUUUGAGGAGUUUGGUGAUAUUGAUUCUGUAUCCUUGGUAACAGACAAGUAUUCAGGUGCCAACAAAGGAUUUGGAUAUGUUAGGUUCCAUCGAGCUUAUCAUGCUGCUCUGGCUUUUGAAGGCUGUGAUCCAUCAUUUAAGCCUAAGUAUGCUGAUCCUAAGCCACAAAAAGAGAGAGAUCAAGACGUAAUGUUUGAUCCAAGAGAGGUUUAUCCUGGUUAUCAGAGUGGAUACAGGGACUCUGGCAGGGAGUCAAGAGGAGGGAGUCGUUAUGAGUCUGACAGAGGAGGUCGGUAUGAAGAUAAGAGUUAUCGAAGAGAUAAUAUGCGAGAUAUGCGUGAUAUGGGAGAUUCAAUGCAAGGUAUGAAGAGAGGCCAUUCUGAGAUGAUGGAUGACUUUGGAGGAAAUAUGGGAGGAGGAGGAGGAGGUUUCUCUGUCUCAAGCGGUCCCUUAGACAUCUUAGAGAGAUACCCUAGCACAGGAUCAACCCGACUUCAUAUUACAGCUCCUAUUGGAUUAUCCCAAGGUUACCUAACACGCCUGUUUAGCAUCAUCCCAGGACUGGAGUAUUGUGACUUGAAUGAAGCUACAGGACAAGCUUUUGCAAGAUACACCAGCCCUCAGUGUGCUUCGUAUGCCAGAGAUAAAUUGCAUGGUUUUGAGUACCCCAUUGGAAGUCCCUUAGUAGUAAGAUGUGCAGAUGAGCAGCAAAGACCUCCUGAUCUACGUUCUUUGGGACAGUCUAGUAUGGGAUUUGACAGUUAUGCUGGUUAUGGAGGUGGAAAGGCACAGGGAAAUGACAUGUUCAGAAGGGCAGCUUUGAUCUUAGAAAAUGCAGGAAUUAAUCCAGAUCGAGUUUUGGGUGGACAGCAAGCUUCUCAAGAUACAGAGAGAGUUGGGUACUGUCCCAUACCUCUACCCCCUCCUAAAAAGAUGCUACCUGAUGACACCCCUGUGGCUAAGAGAUUGUUUAUUGUGUGUCAGCCAUCAGGAACACCAGAGAAGAUUUUGAGGGAUGCAUUCUGUAGAAUGGGAAAUCUGAUAGAUGUAUAUUUGUUACCAGCAAGGAACUAUGGUUAUGCCAAGUAUGCGACCAUAGAAUCAGCUGUGAAAGCUAUAGAAUUACUUCAUGGACAAAACAUUGGUGGAAAUCGAUUGAAAGUCAUUGAAGCAGAACCAACAAGAAAAGAUUUUGAUGAUGAACCAUAUAAAAAACAAAGAACCUGAAGUAUCCAAUAGAGAAUGAUAGCUCUUUAUGUUGGAUAUGAUCAGCAGGCCUGUAAUGGAUGGUCUUCAUCUUCAGACUGGAAACUUAGUGUUGGGCAAGAAAGACUUUUUUGGUUGCAACCCCAACAUGCUAGUCUGAUUGCACCAACGCUGUAUUUGAAUGUUAAAAAUUCACAUUUGGAGCCCAAACUUUGGACAUGAAGCAAGAAAUUUUAAAGAAAAAGAAGAGGAAAAAAGAUAUGAAAUGACAGACUUUUUUCAGGAUUUAAUACAGGAUGAAGAUGCUGAAUACAUCUUACCACUGAUGUUGGGUCUGAGGUACCUCAAGCCUCAACCAGUGCAGACCCCUCUACCUUCUUUGGCCUAACCUCCAACACAUAAUUUGAAGCAGCAGAUCUUGACCGCUCUAUCUACUUUUACCUCCACCCAGGAAUUGUUACUAAAAGAAAUUACCCACAACACAAAGGCAAUUCGAACCCUCUCCACCGAUAUUGCUUACCUGCGUGGGCAGUUUAGACAAUUCGAGAGGGUGCAUGGUCGCCACCAGACCAUCCAAGACAGGUUGUCUAACCUGUCCAACCGCCCAUUCAAACAAAUACGAAGGAAGCCAUAUUUAAACAGACCUGAACUACAACAUUGCCAACCGAAAGUAAAAUCUGUAGAAGAAAAUAAAGAUCCGGAAAAUAAAGAAAACUGAAUUAAGUUAAUAUCUAUUCACUAUUUAGUCUGUAUUGUAUUUGCUGAUUCUCUAUAACUUUUUAAUUUUGGCCUACCUUCAGAAAUUGUCAAUUACUUAAAAUUUAACUAACUUGUUUAGUAUCAAAAGCUAAUGAAAAUUAUUUUGUUAAAAGUGUAAUUAUUUGACAUUUGAAUUUGGUACUGAAAGGCAAAAUUUGUUAAGUGAAUUUAUCCAUAUAAAAUUAUAUUCUUUUAAGUGGUCAGUUAGAGGUGUAAUUUUUGAAAUAUUCAAAGUUUUAGUCUGCCAUUUUAGAUAUAUUUUAGAUAUAUUUUAGAAAGUAAUUUAAAAGUAACGAUCAAUUCUCCUUUUAAGGGCAACUCAUGACUUUACCAUCUGUGUUUUACAGUCUUAGUUUUCUUCAUAUUCCAUCAUACCUUGAUAAACUUUCUUAAUUUUCUUGAAGAAUAAUAUGUAGUGAUUUUGGCAUCCUCGGUGGGAUUCAUUCAAAUUAGUGAAUCCAGUGAUACGUACUCUUGACUAAAAAAAAGAAGAAAUAUGGUACGGAGAAAAACUCAGGCUCCUGCCACUGACACUGAAUAUUCUGAUGAAUUUGAUGAAUAUAUAUAACAAAACAAUGUCUUUUUAGUUUUUGUAAAGUUAAACCUUAUUUUAGCGGACUUUUAGGAGCCGGGCUCUUACGAUUUUAAUCCAUUGUUCUCAUCAGUCAUGUUAAGUUAAAUUUAAGAAACUGUAGCAAAUACUUUAAAACCUUUUUAGUUAAUUUUACGGAUUUUGCAGGCAAUGCUUUAGUUAUAAUAGUUAUUUGAUGUUUGUAAAUUUCAAAACACUACUUUAAACAGAUAUAAAUAGGCAAUCUUUGGAAUUAGGGAUUAUGGUUUCCAUAAGGUUUGGAAACCAUAUUUUAAUUAGAUAACAGUUAGAAAGGAUCUAACUGCUAUCUUAAAAUAGGCACUGUUUCACGAAGGACCUGGCAGUUGCCUUGAUUUUAUGGAAUACUGUCUUAAGUAAGGACUGGACAGUAUUUCUUUAAACAACAUUUUUGUAUUUAUAUCAGGAAGGACCUGAUGAACUGAUAAGGAAUCAGUUUCCUAAACUUAUUUAUCUAAAUCAGAAAAGGUUUCGGAUUAAUUUCUGCUCAAAUUAUUAAACUUUAUAUUUAUAGAAAUGUUAGUUAAAUAAGCAAUUUAUAUAGCAAGACUCAAACAUGUAAAAGUUCACAUAAAUAUCAGUACAAAUUCUUAAAUAGUACAACAAACAGUUUUAUAUGGGACUAGAUCACAACCUCCUAUAUUUCCAUGAAUUUAAACACAUUUAAUAAUGCAUUUGAUGUACCUUAUUUAGAAUUGAUAAAUUUUCAAAAGAUUAAGAGUUCCUACAUUUUUUGGGGGAGUUCUGAGACUCGUUUAGAGAGGUGCUAGAAAUUUUAUUAUUAUGUAAUUACUGUAUACUUAUGAUAUUGUAUUGUGAAAUACGUAUUUGAUGAGGAGUUAAUGAUCAAUAGAAUAU
RNA transcript from Mytilus trossulus (common blue mussel), 3947 nucleotides. It is a transcript of the gene named RNA-binding protein 45-like, with no coding region annotated. The transcript is spliced from 15 exons. NCBI's taxonomy places the organism in Eukaryota, Metazoa, Mollusca, Bivalvia, Mytilida, Mytilidae. The record is from RefSeq and is a predicted model, not a curated record.